RNAcentral lists this ribosomal RNA (254 nucleotides) under uncultured bacterium. RNAcentral describes it as "partial 16S ribosomal RNA". It matches the Rfam family "Bacterial small subunit ribosomal RNA", at positions 524 to 776 of the family's 1533-position model. The record is from RNAcentral.
UACGUAGGGGGCAAGCGUUGUUCGGAUUUACUGGGCGUAAAGGGCGCGUAGGCGGCGCGUAAAGUCGGACAUGAAAUCAUUGGGCUUAACCUGAUGGCUGUGCCCGAUACUUACGUGCUUGGAGUGCGGGAGAGGCAAUCGGAAUUCUCGGUGUAGCGGUGAAAUGCGUAGAUAUCGAGAGGAACUCCGGUGACGAAGGUGGGUUGCUGGACCGACACUGACGCUGAGGCGCGAAAGCUAGGGGAGCAAACGGG